RNAcentral lists this microRNA precursor (220 nucleotides) under Physcomitrium patens. Its description in RNAcentral is "Physcomitrella patens miR893 stem-loop (ppt-MIR893)". Its record names the gene ppt-MIR893. The record is from miRBase by way of RNAcentral. Lineage: Eukaryota; Viridiplantae; Streptophyta; Bryopsida; Funariales; Funariaceae.
CUCUGCAUUGCUCUCAAACCUCCUCCCUCUUCCUUGUCCUAGCAUAGAUCCCAGUCCCUUCUUCCUUGUCUUGAUGCACGACCCAAUCCUCUCCUCUUCUUCUUUAUCCCGUCAUACCCAUACUAAGACAAGAAAGAGUUGGAAGAGAGAAUUGGGACUUGUGCUGGGACAAGGAAGAAAGGAACUACUACUUGCACCAAGACAAGGAAAAGGAGGAGGA